CCUACGGGGGGCUGCAGUGGGGAAUAUUGCACAAUGGGGGAAACCCUGAUGCAGCGACGCCGCGUGAGCGAUGAAGGCCUUCGGGUCGUAAAGCUCUGUCCUAAGGGAAGAUAAUGACGGUACCUUAGGAGGAAGCCCCGGCUAACUACGUGCCAGCAGACGCGGUAAUACGUAGGGGGCGAGCGUUGUCCGGGAUUACUGGGCGUAAAGGGUGCGUAGGCGGUCAUGUAAGUCAGAUGUGAAAGCCCUCGGCUUAACCGAGGUAAGCAUUUGAAGCUGCAUAACUUGAGUGCAGGAGAGGGGAGUGGAAUUCCUAGUGUGGCGGUGAAAUGCGUAGAUAUUAGGAAGAACACCAGUGGCGAAGGCGACUCUCUGGUCUAUAACUGACGCUGAGGCGCGAAGGCGUGGGGAGCAAACAGGAUUAGAUACCCGAGUAGUC
This 439-nucleotide ribosomal RNA is filed under the name uncultured bacterium. Its description in RNAcentral is "bacterial SSU rRNA". It matches the Rfam family "Bacterial small subunit ribosomal RNA", at positions 338 to 795 of the family's 1533-position model. The record is from RNAcentral.